Molecule: ribosomal RNA, 503 nt
Filed under: uncultured bacterium
Lineage: Bacteria
Description: partial 16S ribosomal RNA
Rfam family: Bacterial small subunit ribosomal RNA
Source: RNAcentral
AUUGAACGCUGGCGGCAGGCUUAACACAUGCAAGUCGAGCGGGGUGAUGGUGCUCGCACUAUCACUUAGCGGCGGACGGGUGAGUAAUGCUUAGGAAUCUGCCUAUUAGUGGGGGACAACAUCUCGAAAGGGAUGCUAAUACCGCAUACGUCCUACGGGAGAAAGCAGGGGAUCACUUGUGACCUUGCGCUAAUAGAUGAGCCUAAGUCGGAUUAGCUAGUUGGUGGGGUAAAGGCCUACCAAGGCGACGAUCUGUAGCGGGUCUGAGAGGAUGAUCCGCCAUACUGGGACUGAGACACGGCCCAGACUCCUACGGGAGGCAGCAGUGGGGAAUAUUGGACAAUGGGGGGAACCCUGAUCCAGCCAUGCCGCGUGUGUGAAGAAGGCCUUAUGGUUGUAAAGCACUUUAAGCGAGGAGGAGGCUCUUUUGGUUAAUACCCAAGAUGAGUGGACGUUACUCGCAGAAUAAGCACCGGCUAACUCUGUGCCAGCCGCCGCAGUAA